GUGCUUUUUUUAAUUUAAGGUGUAGGGGUUUGAAUUUAGACAUCUUUUAAUCCAGCAUUAAAAUGUUUUUUAAAAUAGUAUAUUUGCAGAAUGAUUCUGCACUUCUAAAGUAUGAAGUAGUGCUGGUUAUAAAUAUAAUUGCUGUAAAAUAAAAUGUUAUGGCUUUUCUCAAAAGGCAAGAAAAGUUGGCUAGAGGUAGGGCAAAUAUGGUGUUCCUUGUGUUAAAGUAGCAUACUUUGAGGUCUCAUUAAAGGUUAAAGAAGCUGAAGGCUUUAAAACUGUAUUCUGAAGGGCAAAAAAGAUGUUUUUUUGGGAGAUGAAGUAACUUAGGACUUAAAAUUCAGAGAAGCUGAUGACAGAAGCCAUUUUAAAGUAACCUUGCUAUCAGUAGUGGUUUUAUUUAAUUUUGCAUAGCCUACUUUGAAAGACUUUAAUGUGGAAGAAAAAGUAAAAGGGCUGAGGGAUAUUGUGUGAUAAACUACUCAGUAGAAAAAGUCUUAAAUUGGCAUUUUAGCUUUAGUUCUUUCAAAAUUAAAGUAAUGGAGACAGUAGAGCAGACUACAGUUAUUCAUGAAAAGCACAGAUCAUGUGUGUUGUAUGUCAGUCACUCAUAUCCAGUGGGUUUUUCUUCAGACAGGAACGUACAGCCACUCAUACUUUUAUUUUUAGAGUUUAAUUUGAAAGAUAGUUAUUGUGAUCAUGAGUUUUUCCCGAUUUAAUAAUUAUCUAAAGAUUGAUAGAUUUCAGGCAUAUGCUGCUUUUCUAAAGCAAAAUACUGAAAAUAUCCAUACUUUGUUUUUUCAGGUAGAAUUUCGUGAACAGAAUCUUAUUUCCUGACUGGCUUCCAGAGGAUUCGUUCAUGCCUUAUUUUUCUUAGGCUGUUACUGGAUAUUGUUCUUCCAAAGAUUCAGAUGACUGGUUGGACAAAAGACCUUGAGCAAAAUUCUGUACUGUGCGUGCCAGAUUGUUGAGGAAUUGAUUUACUCACUGUAAGCAAAAUAUCUGCUCUUGGUUGAAGCACUGAAUCCAUUCAGAUGAAGAGUGUCAAAAGGAGUCUACGAAUGAGACACCAAGAUGGCAGUUCCACUGGGGAUUGAGAGGUUGAGGAAAUGGACUAAUGCAUGAGUGCUGGGAUGUCUGUCCAAGAAAAGGAUGUUAAAACGUGGACUCUCAUGUUAUUAAACCAGAGAAGAUCUGGGUUGUGAUCAUCCUACCAGAAUGGACUUUGCAUUUGAAUUAAUCAGUGACUAUGCAAUGAUGGAUCUGUUUGAGGACUGGGUGGCAAAAUUUCCUUUUGGGUUGUGUUUGCAUGAUAGGCAAAUUAAUUUGGUAAAAGAUCUGUUGCUACCCCUUUUGAGAAAAUGUAAUUUAUAAAGUGACUUUAAAUAAAAGGUUUUGGUUUAUUUCACACUUUGUGUUUGUCCUUUCUGGCUGAAUAUUUUUUGUUGUGUUGAUAUUGAAGUGGGUUACAUUUUUGGUUGCUAUUAAACUGAGAAAUACUUUAGCUGAGUACUGAAGGCAAGGUAAAAUUUAGUGCUACACUUGAUAUCCAAUGUGGUUUUCAUUUGCAAAUUAUGUUCACUUUGCCAUGACUUUCAAUGAAUUUUUAUUCACUGGCUUGUUCAUUCAGGUGCUUAAUAUGAGGGGUUUUCAGUACUUGGCCUAUUGUCAGGGUACUGCUGCUGAACUUUGUGAAGUUAUUUUAAGAUGGAAUUGAUACCAAUUGAAGGCUGAGAAAAUAUAACAAUAAAGGAGUACUUGAAUGUUUUGUGAAACUUUUUUAGGUAUGUUCUUGGGUUGUGUGUGGGUACAGAAACUUUUCAACAGAUUUCCUGGACUACAGACUUCCUGAACAGUCACUUUGGUCUUAAAAUUGUUCUGUGCAAGUGUCCAAUCUGCUUCGCUGCUCUUGCAUGUAGCCUUAGUGUCACGAUACUGUGCCAUGUGUUUGCUGAGAAAAAAACAAGUUAUUUUUGAUAUUGCUGCAGAUGACAUAUUAACCUUUGCAAAUGAAUUUUGAAAUGGUUCUAAUAUUUGAAGUCAUGAUUUCCUUACAGGUUUCUAGUGGAUCUAAUAAUUUAACCAUAGGCAUUUCUUCUCUUUGUGUUUCACCUGAAACUCAAAGUUGUCUUUGUUUUGUACUGGAGGGCCAAGAUGAUAAACCUGGUGCUGAGAUAACCUUGAAAUUAUCUUUGAAAACCCCAAAAAAAUCCUGUUCAUUGUCUGUUUAACCAUUUGCCUUGCUCAGACUUUCUUGGAAAUACCCAUUUUGCCAUGAUGACUUGCUCAUACCUGUUCCAUCCAGCCAUUUUGGUGGUACCCACUUGGCCCAGUUUGGUUUCACCAUGUAUUUUUAUGGUGGGGUUGGAUACUGGGACCAACCUGAAGCGUUUCUCAUUCAAAUGAGUGGAUUUCCUUAGUGUUACCAGAAAUUGCUUGGAAUGGUCUUGCAUUGUGGUUUUUUAGUUCUUGUAGUCGAGGUGCAAGGAGUCUUCUGUGAAUAAUUGGUAAAGUGGAAUUUUUUUAAAAUGGCUUGUGGCAUUGGAGAGUUCCUAAUGAAACGCCUUGUGGAAAUAGGGUAGAUAGUUGUAGGAGAUAAAUGGCAGGUCUGUGGAGGAAUUAAAGGGGAUGGUGUUGGUUCUACUGGUCAAAGCCAAUGGUUUUGGGCUGUUGAGAUGCUGUACUGUGGGAUGUCCCCAUAGACCCCAAACUAGCCCAUUGCCCCUUUGUUCUCCAGUGGUCCCCCCAUGACUGAUGGCUCUGUCUUGUUGUGGUGCUUAUGAACAUGCAGGAUGUCCUUGUGCUUUAAGGGGUUGUUUUUGGUUGUGGAAGACAACUGGUAGUCAGAAUCAAGUGGGCAGGGGAUACUUGGAUCACCUCCAUUCCCUUGGUGAUACAUCCUCUCAGUUCCACGAUGUUGUGUUGGAGAUGUGUAUCAAUUGAUUUGCAAUUCUGCAACUUGGCUAUUGUGCAGCUUUCAAUUUAAUUUGUUGUAUUAAAAUCUGUUAAUGAGCAUGAAUGGGUUAAGAAAGUGCAGUAGGAAUAAGCAGUUUGAUGGUGUUGGACUGAGUUGACCAUAGUGCCUUGGCAUAGCUGGUGGAAAUGGUGUGGCUUUUGGAUUGGAGUUGUUGGGAGAAACCACUAGGGAGGCGCUGUGGAGCUGGAGGGCAAUCUCAGCUCUGUGGGGUUGGCUUGGGAGCCAGUGAUGCUCCUGUCUCCCCCUGCCAGUGCCAGCACUGGGGGACAAAGGGAGAGCUGUUGUCUGGGGAUUUUGCCACCAAACUGGGGGGAAGCUGCCCCUUGGGUGGGGUGACCCCCAGGGUGGGCAGUAGCUGCCUGCAUGGCUGUGAGCUCCACUUCCAUGCCUUCAAAAUGGCUUGUAACAGCACCACUUCCUGUCCAGGGAGGAAGUAAUUUUAGCCCAGGCACUGAAAUAUUUAACAAAUCUUUAAAACAAAAGGCACAAAUUCCAUUUCUUUCUGGCUUCCAAAGGGUGCCUGAGCCACAUGGGGUUAAGGUGCCCCUUGAGCUGGGGUAGUUGGAAGGAGCCAGGGCUGUGGGGUAGCAGGCACCCUUUAGGUGGAGGCUCUCUCUUUUUUUGGUAGAAAUGAAGGGGUGGGUCUAUGGUACAUCACCUGAGUUGUGGGGUAAAUGUAGAGAGUGUCAAUCAAAGGCAGAGCUCAGAGCUGGGAAGGAGCUCUAGAUGGCGGCUGUGCCUUAGAGAGAGCGCGCUCAGCUCCGUGCCUUCCCCAACACUUUACGCAACUUUCCCUAACUUUCAGGCAGCCUCAGGGGGCCCCCACAGCCCCUUGCCUCUCCUAGGCACUAAUCGGGGGCCGAGCGGACCUUUUUCGGGCAGAAAAGCAGCUUUUGAGGGCUCCCUUUUCGUGCCUUGCUGGAAAGAAGAAGCCGUGGAGAGAGCCCAGGUCGUUGUUUUUCCAGCUUAGAAGCCAUGGCGUACCUCCAUUUUUGUGCGCUCUCCUAAUGAGCUUUUUCCCCCGGACAUUUUUAUACUAAUUACCGCUUCUUUUGCUUUAUCGGCAGCAUAUUUUUGGGAUUAGAAUAUAUAUUUUUUUUUCAUUUUCUGAAAUUUGUAUUUUAUCGGUAUAAUUCUAAAUAUUUUGGAUCUAAUGUUUUUCCACUACCCGAAACUAAUAUCGACUUGGUCCUGGCGGCGGUGCAUGGAUCAGGUAGUAAAUACCUGGGCACAGGACUUCAAAGCAAACAGACACCCCUGACCCCCUUUUAAUAUUUAAGAAUAAAAAGAUGAUGAGAAAUAAGGACAAAAGCCAAGGAGAGGAGGGUUCAGUCCACAGCAAUGCAUCGAGGUAUGACCUAUCAACUUUCUUUUUUUUUUUUUUUUGUAAAACCUGUGAAUACCCUGUUUACUUUGACAGCCUUGGGUUACUGUCAGUGCUUAACAGAAAACAUUUUACUGAUUUUGCUUCCUUUUUAAGGAAUGACCUUGAGAUUGUUAGCAUGCCACACCCUAAUUUUUUUUGGUAGCAAUUUCUGAAACUUGUGUUGUGACUUAAGGGCCCAUGUCCUAGGCAAAAGGUACUGUACCUUUAUUGAGGGCAGCCCUUGCCCCUGUAUGAUGUUUUUCCAGCUUUUGAAUUUCAGUUUUUAGGUUUUUUGUGCUGUGAAAAAUGACCUUGUCGGUUUAGCCAUUGCUGCAUUGCACCAUUUUACAUACAAGGCAAAUUUUUCUUUGAAGAAUCUCAGAAGUCUAAACUUUAACUGAGGGCCAUACAGAAGCCUGGUGUAGUAGUAAAUUAUAGUAAAUAGGCACAAGAAAAAGUUACAUGAAUGAAAAAAAGCUUAUUUUAAAAUAUAAACUGGAAAGUGCCUGUUCGUCAGAUACCUCUUACUUCAAAUUUUAUUUGAGCUUGUAGAACUUUGAGUCUGUGGAGGUAUUUUAGAAUAUUUUUAUACAAUUUAACCAGACUUUGUCCUGCUGGUGAUGGCAUUUUGUAUCAUAAAAUAUACACUGGGACUGUUAAUAAGAGGCACCAAAUGAUUUGCUGGUUUUGUUUAAUGUAUUUUUGCUCAGAGUAUUUUUAUUUACUUUUGUCAAGUAAUGAGAUUCUUUACAGAUUUUUAGAGACUUAACCUUGAUGUGGGAAAAGUAUGAAAUACUGAAAAUGUUUGUUAGCUGGCAGUGCAGAAGUACAGUUACCAAAUCGCUCAUUUUAUAUUUAAAAGGUCGGCUCUUCCAAAAACUGGAAAUUAAACUAUAUGCGGGGUUUGUUUGUUUUUUUUUUUUUUGGUUUGUAAGUAUUACUGGGUUUUGCAUUUUGUUAAUUUCAGUUGAAUCUUGGCCUGUUUCUUUUUUUCUGGUGUUGUCUUCCUGCAUUUUUAACCAACAUUAAUAAAAAAGAACUCUGAACUGUCUGUUGUA
Molecule: non-coding RNA, 5401 nt
Organism: Cyanistes caeruleus (blue tit)
Lineage: Eukaryota; Metazoa; Chordata; Aves; Passeriformes; Paridae
Source: RefSeq, a predicted model, not a curated record